This 71-nucleotide transfer RNA is filed under the name Kraemeria cunicularia (transparent sand dart). RNAcentral describes it as "tRNA-Val". It matches the Rfam family "tRNA". Rfam says of the family: Transfer RNA (tRNA) molecules are approximately 80 nucleotides in length. Their secondary structure includes four short double-helical elements and three loops (D, anti-codon, and T loops). The record is from RNAcentral. Lineage: Eukaryota; Metazoa; Chordata; Actinopteri; Gobiiformes; Kraemeriidae.
CAGAGCGUAGCUUAAGAGAAAAGCAAUUCACUUACACCGAAUAGACACCCGUGCAAUUCAGGUCGCACUGA